Molecule: ribosomal RNA, 500 nt
Filed under: uncultured bacterium
Lineage: Bacteria
Description: partial 16S ribosomal RNA
Rfam family: Bacterial small subunit ribosomal RNA
Source: RNAcentral
AUUGAACGCUGGCGGCAUGCCUUACACAUGCAAGUCGAACGGUAACGGGUCCUUCGGGAUGCCGACGAGUGGCGAACGGGUGAGUAAUAUAUCGGAACGUGCCCAGUAGUGGGGGAUAACUGCUCGAAAGAGCAGCUAAUACCGCAUACGACCUGAGGGUGAAAGGGGGGGAUCGCAAGACCUCUCGCUAUUGGAGCGGCCGAUAUCAGAUUAGCUAGUUGGUGGGGUAAAGGCCUACCAAGGCAACGAUCUGUAGUUGGUCUGAGAGGACGACCAGCCACACUGGGACUGAGACACGGCCCAGACUCCUGCGGGAGGCAGCAGUGGGGGAUUUUGGACAAUGGGCGCAAGCCUGAUCCAGCAAUGCCGCGUGCAGGAUGAAGGCCUUCGGGUUGUAAACUGCUUUUGUACGGAACGAAAAGCCCCGGGUUAAUACCCUGGGGUCAUGACGGUACCGUAAGAAUAAGCACCGGCUAACUACGUGCCAGCCGCCGCCGUAA